This 762-nucleotide small RNA is filed under the name Pan troglodytes (chimpanzee). RNAcentral describes it as "retained intron". Lineage: Eukaryota; Metazoa; Chordata; Mammalia; Primates; Hominidae. The record is from RNAcentral.
GGCGGCCUGGCCACUGAGCCGGGGUGCAGUGGCAGCGGGAGGGUACCUGGCGAUGGCGAUAUGAGCGGUGCAGGGGUGGCGGCUGGGACGCGGCCCCCCAGCUCGCCGACCCCGGGCUCUCGGCGCCGGCGCCAGCGCCCCUCUGUGGGCGUCCAGUCCUUGAGGCCGCAGAGCCCGCAGCUCAGGCAGAGCGACCCGCAGAAACGGAACCUGGACCUGGAGAAGAGCCUGCAGUUCCUGCAGCAGCAGCACUCGGAGAUGCUGGCCAAGCUCCAUGAGGAGAUCGAGCACCUGAAGCGGGAGAACAAGGGUGAGCCGGCGCGGGGCCCUAGGCCGGCCCUGCCUCCCCUGGCACACUCAACACUGCCGCUCCCGCAGCACAGAAACACAGCCAUCAACUCCAGCACACGCCUGGGCUCAGGGGGAACACAGGACAGUAAGCCCGCCCUGCCACGCUGAGCUGUCCCCUCCUCCCAGAGGGAGACCCGCGUGGCCCCCGGGCAGUGCCGACCCUGUCUGCCUGUCUCGUAGGGCAGCAGCAUUUCAGAUGCUGACUCCGCCAGUCCUCCCCUCUCCAGGCAGGGUCAGACACACCUCUGUUAAAAACUUUAUAGAGGGGCCCGGGCGCGGCGGCUCACGCCUGUAAUUCCAGCACUUUGGGAGGCCGAGGCGGGCGGAUCACGAGGUCAGGAGAUCGAGACCAUCCUGGCUAACACGAUCUCCAUUACAAGCUCAUAAUGAAUCAGACAUCACAGAAGAAAG